RNAcentral lists this ribosomal RNA (459 nucleotides) under uncultured Desulfobulbus sp. RNAcentral describes it as "bacterial SSU rRNA". It matches the Rfam family "Bacterial small subunit ribosomal RNA", at positions 918 to 1382 of the family's 1533-position model. Lineage: Bacteria; Pseudomonadati; Thermodesulfobacteriota; Desulfobulbia; Desulfobulbales; Desulfobulbaceae. The record is from RNAcentral.
GGGCCGCACAAGCGUGAGUAUGUGGUUAAUUCGAUGCAACGCGAGACUUACCUGGUCUUGACAUCCCGGAGACCCUUAGGAACUAGGGGUGCUUCCAUCUGAGAAUCUGGAGACAGGUGCUGCAUGGCUGUCGUCAGCUCGUGUCGUGAGAUGUUGGGUUAAGUCCCGCAACGAGCGCAACCCUUGCCUUUAGUUGCCAGCAGUUCGGCUGGGCACUCUAAAGGGACUGCCGGUGUUAAACCGGAGGAAGUGGGGAUGACGUCAAGUCCUCAUGGCCUUUAUGACCAGGGCUACACACGUACUACAAUGGCCGAUACAAAGGGCAGCGACACUGCGAGGUGAAGCCAAUCCCGUAAAAUCGGUCUCAGUCCGGAUUGGAGUCUGCAACUCGACUCCAUGAAGUUGGAAUCGCUAGUAAUCGUGGAUCAGCAUGCCACGGUGAAUACGUUCCCGGGCCUU